Long non-coding RNA from Larimichthys crocea (large yellow croaker), 1024 nucleotides. RefSeq lists it as uncharacterized. The transcript has 4 exons. Lineage: Eukaryota; Metazoa; Chordata; Actinopteri; Sciaenidae. The record is from RefSeq and is a predicted model, not a curated record.
UUCCUUUUUCCAUUUUGGUUGUCUUGUUAAUGUUUUCUCUGGUCGCUCAUUUCUGGACACAGGCUGAUCUUUUGCAUUAGGAUAUUGGGGCUCCAAUGAGGUUUUCAACAGUUUGAGAUGUCGGCCACAUGUUGCAGUAUUAGCACAUGCUCCAUGGCAAACAACUUAGUAUCAUCUUCUUCAAACUGCAAGAUUUCACCAAGCAGUAAGACAGUCAGAGAUCUCUCAUAAUGUUUUCCAACGCAGCAAAAUCAUCAGUAUUCACUGAAGUGUGAAGAAAAUAUAAAAACACAUCGCCCGGUGUUUAUAGGUCCAGCCCAUCAGAGUUUUUUUAGCUGCCCAAGAGGCACAUUGGCUAUUUGAGGAAACAAAAAAAAUAUAUAAUCAACACUUGUCAAUGCCAUAUCAACAGUCCCUGAAGAAUCUAAAAUUAUUAGCACUGGACAAUUUGCUUUUCAGCUACAGACAUGAUGACCGCAGCAGGACUUCGGUAUCUCCAAACAGAUUUCCUACAAAACAUCUCAAGGGCUCCUAGAAUUCUGCCUCAGGCAGAGGAGGCCAAGCGCUUAUUUCCCAAGGCUUCCUUAAUGUGUGGAAGAAGAGAAUCUGACUGUGUGCGUGCACAUUUGCUGGAGAGGAGCUGGAAUAAAUGGCACCAAGAUUCCUUCUUUCUUCUGUCUGAUCUUCCUGCAGAGGAGUGUUGCGCAAAGAUGCGGAAACGUGGAAAGAAUGCAUGAAAUAUGAAAAUCCCAGUCGGGACAAAGAGAAUGACUUUACACAGGAGUUAGUGUGGCGCAAAGAUCCCCACAACUCAAAUGUGUGCUGUACGCCUGUGCCAUUUGAUACUUUGCAUAGUUAUAGUAAAAGACAGGCAAUAUCACAGCAUGAAGUGUUUUUCUUUUCUCUGAAGAUGAUUUUGCUGUACAUAACAAACUCAGCUGCACUCUGCACCUCCGUUUCAACACAAAGAAACACAAAGAAAGGUUUUCUUUCUGAAUUGUUGUUGACAUGUAAGAUCUACAUU